Molecule: ribosomal RNA, 484 nt
Filed under: uncultured bacterium
Lineage: Bacteria
Description: partial 16S ribosomal RNA
Rfam family: Bacterial small subunit ribosomal RNA
Source: RNAcentral
AUUGAACGCUGGCGGCAUGCUUUACACAUGCAAGUCGAACGGCAGCGCGGGCUUCGGCCUGGCGGCGAGUGGAGAACGGGUGAGUAAUGCAUCGGAACGUGCCCAGUCGUGGGGGAUAGCCCGGCGAAAGCCGGAUUAAUACCGCAAACGACCUGAGGGUGAAAGAGGGGGACCGAAAGGGUUCGAGAGCUUGGCGCGGCCGAUGCCGGAUUAGCUAGUUGGUGGGGUAAAGGGUUACCAAGGCGACGAUCCGUAGCUGGGCUGUGAGGACGACCAGCCACACUGGGACUGAGACACGGCCCAGACUCCUACGGGAGGCAGCAGUGGGGAAUUUUGGACAAUGGGGGCAACCCUGAUCCAGCCAUGCCGCGUGUGGGAAGAAGGCCUUCGGGUUGUAAACCGCUUUUGUUCGGGAAGAAAUGCUCUGGGCUAAUACCCCGGGGGGAUGACGGUACCGGAAGAAUAAGCACCGGCUAACUACGUG